GACGAACGCUGGCGGCGUGCUUAACACAUGCAAGUCGAACGGAAAGGCCCUGCUUUUGUUGGGUGCUCGAGUGGCGAACGGGUGAGUAACACGUGAGUAACCUGUCCUUGACUUUGGGAUAACUUCAGGAAACUGGGGCUAAUAUCGGGUAUGAUCUCCUGCUGCAUAGUGGGGGUUGGUAAGUUUCGGCGGUUGGGGAUGGACUCGCGGCUUAUCAGCUUGUUGGUGGGGUAGUGGCUUACCAAGGCUUUGACGGGUAGCCGGCCUGAGAGGGUGACCGGCCACAUUGGGACUGAGAUACGGCCCAGACUCCUACGGGAGGCAGCAGUGGGGAAUAUUGCACAAUGGGCGGAAGCCUGAUGCAGCAACGCCGCGUGCGGGAUGACGGCCUUCGGGUUGUAAACCGCUUUCGCCUGUGACGAAGCGUGAGUGACGGUAAUGGGUAAAGAAGCACCGGCUAACUACGUG
Molecule: ribosomal RNA, 468 nt
Filed under: uncultured bacterium
Lineage: Bacteria
Description: partial 16S ribosomal RNA
Rfam family: Bacterial small subunit ribosomal RNA
Source: RNAcentral